This 65-nucleotide transfer RNA is filed under the name Psilothrix sp. PSI01. RNAcentral's name for it is "tRNA-Phe". Lineage: Eukaryota; Metazoa; Arthropoda; Insecta; Coleoptera; Melyridae. The record is from RNAcentral.
AUUUAAGUAGCUUAUAUAGAGUAUAAUAUUGAAGAUAUUAGGGAAAUAAAUUUUAUUCUUAAAUA